GGGAUGGCUUAUGCCUGCACCAUCGACCGACCAUGAUCUUCUGUGAAAGGUUUGAGUACGAGCAUACCUGUUGGGACCCGAAAGAUGGUGAACUAUGCCUGAGCAGGGCGAAGCCAGAGGAAACUCUGGUGGAGGCUCGUAGAUGUGCUGACGUGCAAAUCGCUUUUCGGACUUGGGUAUAGGGGCGAAAGACUACUAGUAGCUGGUUCCCUCCGAAGUUUCCCCCAGGAUAGCUGGAGCUUGAUCAGUUUUAUCGGGUAAAGCGAAUGAUUAGAGGUACCGGGGAUGAACAUCCUCGACCUAUUCUCAAACUUUAAAUAGGUAAGACGUCUGGGUUGCUUAAUUGAACCCAGGCAUUCAAUGAGAGCUCCAAGUGGGCCAUUUUU
This 386-nucleotide ribosomal RNA is filed under the name Trebouxia decolorans. RNAcentral's name for it is "eukaryotic LSU rRNA". It matches the Rfam family "Eukaryotic large subunit ribosomal RNA", at positions 737 to 1138 of the family's 3401-position model. The record is from RNAcentral. Lineage: Eukaryota; Viridiplantae; Chlorophyta; Trebouxiophyceae; Trebouxiales; Trebouxiaceae.